AUACGGAGGAUCCGAGCGUUAUCCGGAUUUAUUGGGUUUAAAGGGAGCGUAGGCGGACGCUUAAGUCAGUUGUGAAAGUUUGCGGCUCAACCGUAAAAUUGCAGUUGAUACUGGGUGUCUUGAGUACAGUAGAGGCAGGCGGAAUUCGUGGUGUAGCGGUGAAAUGCUUAGAUAUCACGAAGAACUCCGAUUGCGAAGGCAGCCUGCUGGACUGUAACUGACGCCGAUGCUCGAAAGUGUGGGUAUCAAACAGGAUUAGAUACCCUGGUAGUCCACACAGUAAACGAUGAAUACUCGCUGUUUGCGAUAUACAGUAAGCGGCCAAGCGAAAGCGUUAAGUAUUCCACCUGGGGAGUACGCCGGCAACGGUGAAACUCAAAUGAAUUGACGGGG
This 393-nucleotide ribosomal RNA is filed under the name uncultured bacterium. RNAcentral describes it as "partial 16S ribosomal RNA". It matches the Rfam family "Bacterial small subunit ribosomal RNA", at positions 523 to 918 of the family's 1533-position model. The record is from RNAcentral.